RNAcentral lists this ribosomal RNA (497 nucleotides) under uncultured bacterium. RNAcentral describes it as "partial 16S ribosomal RNA". It matches the Rfam family "Bacterial small subunit ribosomal RNA", at positions 28 to 507 of the family's 1533-position model. The record is from RNAcentral.
GAUGAACGCUGGCGGCAUGCCUAACACAUGCAAGUCGAGCGAACAGACGAGGAGUUUGCUCCUCUGACGUUAGCGGCGGUCGGGUGAGUCACACGUGGCUAACCGCCCUAUAUGACUGGCAUAAGUGCGCGAAACCGGAUCUCUCACCGGACAAUAUAUUGAACGGGAUGGUUCAAUAGUCAAAGCCCGUUCUGCUGUCCCUUAUAGAUGGAUGCGCGCCGCUUUAGCUAGGUGGUAAGGUAACGGCUUACCAAGGCGACGAUGCGUAGCCGACCAGAGAGGGUGAUCAGCCACACUGGAACUGAGACACGGUCCAGACUCCUACGGGAGGCAGCAGUGGGGAAUCUUGCGCAAUGGGCGAAAGCCUGACGGAGCCACGCCGCGUGGGUGAUGAAGGUCUUCGGAUCGUAAAGCUCUGUUAGUAGGGAGGAACAGAUGUGAAGGUAACGAUGGACGUCUUGACGUUACCAAGUCAGAAAGCAACGGCUAACUUCGUG